CUAAAAGCUAGGAAUGAGACUAGUAAACUCUGUAGCAAGCCCAGAGAGCCGGGAAUGGUGGGAGCCGGUGCUAUGUGAAGAGUGGAAUGGACUCAGGAGCUACCAGUUGAAAACCUUGACAGGUUAUUAAGCUAGGCCGGUUGGAACCGUUAUAUUCCGGGAACGGAUUAUCGUUUCGAUGAGAUGAGCUGAAAAGCUCAAUAAGGGUGGCACCGCGGAGCCUUCUGCCCCUUGG
RNAcentral lists this non-coding RNA (235 nucleotides) under Dehalogenimonas lykanthroporepellens. RNAcentral's name for it is "T-box sequence". It matches the Rfam family "T-box leader". From Rfam's summary of the family: Uncharged tRNA acts as the effector for transcription antitermination of genes in the T-box leader family. T-boxes are found upstream of many aminoacyl-tRNA synthetase genes and some amino acid biosynthetic genes usually in Gram-positive bacteria. The record is from RNAcentral. Lineage: Bacteria; Bacillati; Chloroflexota; Dehalococcoidia; Dehalococcoidales; Dehalococcoidaceae.